UCCCUCAUAGUUCAGUUGGUAAAGAACUUGCUUGCAUGCAGGAGUCCCAGGUUCGAUUCCUGGGUAGGGAA
RNAcentral lists this transfer RNA (71 nucleotides) under Bos taurus (domestic cattle). It matches the Rfam family "tRNA". Rfam says of the family: Transfer RNA (tRNA) molecules are approximately 80 nucleotides in length. Their secondary structure includes four short double-helical elements and three loops (D, anti-codon, and T loops). Further hydrogen bonds mediate the characteristic L-shaped molecular structure. tRNAs have two regions of fundamental functional importance: the anti-codon, which is responsible for specific mRNA codon recognition, and the 3' end, to which the tRNAs corresponding amino acid is attached (by aminoacyl-tRNA synthetases). tRNAs cope with the degeneracy of the genetic code in two manners: having more than one tRNA (with a specific anti-codon) for a particular amino acid; and 'wobble' base-pairing, i.e. permitting non-standard base-pairing at the 3rd anti-codon position. RNAcentral also lists the same sequence under 2 other names. The record is from Rfam by way of RNAcentral. Lineage: Eukaryota; Metazoa; Chordata; Mammalia; Artiodactyla; Bovidae.